GGUAGAGCAUCUGAUUUGUAAUCAGAGGGUCGCGUGUUCAAGUCAUGUAGCCGGCAUUUUUAGAUAGAAGAAACAGUGCGAACGUAGUUCAGUGGUAGAAC
This 101-nucleotide ribosomal RNA is filed under the name Streptococcus pneumoniae GA02254. Lineage: Bacteria; Bacillati; Bacillota; Bacilli; Lactobacillales; Streptococcaceae. The record is from RNAcentral.